This 344-nucleotide ribosomal RNA is filed under the name Nematoda environmental sample. Its description in RNAcentral is "bacterial SSU rRNA". It matches the Rfam family "Eukaryotic small subunit ribosomal RNA", at positions 88 to 433 of the family's 1831-position model. Lineage: Eukaryota; Metazoa; Nematoda. The record is from RNAcentral.
CGCGAAUAGCUCAUUACAACAGCCGUUGUUUCUUGGAUCUCUUCUCUACUUGGAUAACUGUGGUAAUUCUAGAGCUAAUACAUGCAAUCAAGCCCCGAUCGUGAGUGACGGGCGCAUUUAUUAGAACAAGACCAUCUGGCUUCGUGCCAUCUAAUGGUGACUCUGAAUAACUGAGCCGAUCGCGUGGGCUCGACCCGGCGACGUAUCUUUCAAGUGUCUGCCUUAUCAGGUUUCGUUGGCGGUUUAUGUGACCGCCAAGCCUGUAACGGGUAACGGAGGAUCAGGGUCUGACUCCGGAGAGGGAGCCUGAGAAACGGCUACCACUUCCAAGGAAGGCAGCAGGC